This 454-nucleotide ribosomal RNA is filed under the name uncultured bacterium. Its description in RNAcentral is "bacterial SSU rRNA". It matches the Rfam family "Bacterial small subunit ribosomal RNA", at positions 340 to 784 of the family's 1533-position model. The record is from RNAcentral.
UACGGGAGGCAGCAGUGGGGAAUAUUGCACAAUGGGCGAAAGCCUGAUGCAGCUAUGCCGCGUGUAUGAAGAAGGCCUUAGGGUUGUAAAGUACUUUCAUCGGGGAGGAAAAAACAAAACUAAUAAUUUUAUUUCUUGACGUUACCCGAAAAAGAAGCACCGGCUAACUCCGUGCCAGCAGCCGCGGUAAUACGGAGGGUGCUAGCGUUAAUCAGAAUUACUGGGCGUAAAGAGCACGUAGGUGGUUUUUUUAAGUCAGAUGUGAAAUCCCUGGGCUUAACCUAGGAACUGCAUUUUGAAACUGAAAUACUAGAGUAUCGUAGAGGGAGGUAGAAUUCUAGGUGUAGCGGUGAAAUGCGUAGAUAUCUGGAGGAAUACCUGUGGCGAAAGCGGCCUCCUAAACGAAUACUGACACUGAGGUGCGAAAGCGUGGGGAGCAAACAGGGAUUAGAUA